RNAcentral lists this ribosomal RNA (464 nucleotides) under uncultured bacterium. Its description in RNAcentral is "partial 16S ribosomal RNA". It matches the Rfam family "Bacterial small subunit ribosomal RNA", at positions 338 to 795 of the family's 1533-position model. The record is from RNAcentral.
CCUACGGGAGGCAGCAGUGGGGAAUAUUGCGCAAUGGGCGAAAGCCUGACGCAGCGACGCCGCGUGAGGGAUGAAGGUCUUCGGAUCGUAAACCUCUGUCAGCAGGGAAGAACGGUCACUGUGCUAAUCAGCAGUGAAUUGACGGUACCUGCAAAGGAAGCACCGGCUAACUCCGUGCCAGCAGCCGCGGUAACACGGAGGGUGCGAGCGUUAAUCGGAAUUACUGGGCGUAAAGCGCUCGUAGGCGGUAUGUCAAGUCAAGGGUGAAAUCCCCCGCUCAACAUGGGAACUGCCUUUGAAACUGGCAAACUGGAGUGUGUGAGAGGAUAGUGGAAUUGCAGGUGUAGGAGUGAAAGCCGUAGAUAUCUGGAGGAACAUCAGUGGCGAAGGCGACUAUCUGGCACAUAACUGACGCUGAGGAGCGAAAGCGUGGGUAGCAAACAGGAUUAGAUACCCUAGUAGUC